GCACUGCUGAGGAGUCCCACAAUAGGACGAAACGACGUCCCAGUGC
Molecule: non-coding RNA, 46 nt
Organism: Schistosoma margrebowiei
Lineage: Eukaryota; Metazoa; Platyhelminthes; Trematoda; Strigeidida; Schistosomatidae
Source: Rfam